AGUUUUCUCAAGGAGCCGUGCGAUACAUGGAGGGUGUCAAAUCUCACGAGUGCCGUCCAAAUCUUGCGCUGGUUUUCUGAUCCCACGAAGAGCAGUGCGAUACGUUGGGGAGUGUCAACCUCAUAAAUAUCCUCCAAAUCUUGCACUAGGAUUCUGAUUUAUAUUAACCACGGUGCAAUGUAUAGGGUGUGCCCAUCUCAUAAGCAUGCUCCAAAACUUGCACUGGUUGUCUCCUGCACGCUAGGAAAAUUACAAUACAUAGGGCGUAUCGAUGUUAUAAGUGUCCUCCAAAUCUUGCGCUAGUAUUCUGAUUCAGACUAGGAACCUUUUACAUACAUGGAAUCUUGCACUAAUUUUCUGAUUCACACGAGAAACAGGACAAUACAUACGGGUGUUCGGUUUUAUAAACAGCUCCCAAUGUUCUUUUAAUUUUUGAGCUGCAAUGUUCCUUUCUAAGAAUGGUUACUUUUUGUUAACUUUCUUUUUUUUUCUUUUUUAAAUAAAUAUCUGAAAACUUGAAGUUGAAAUCAUAUCAAUAAUAGAUACAAUGGAAGUCAAGAACGUACAAAGAAGAAGAAAAAUCAACAUUCAUCAUUAUAUCAGAUGACUGAUGUCUGAUUAGUAUUAUCUAUCUAAUCGUAAUAGUAUCCACAUAUAUCUUUUCACAUUAGACAACAUGUUAUGCUUACAUAUUAUGCUGUUAAUGAUAUUUUAAUUAUAUUUUUAAAAUAAAAUCAGUUUGUAUCACAUAAAUUUACAACAUCAUCACUACUAUAUUUUAAAAAGUUAGGGAAAAAAAAGGGUCAUGCUCAAUGGAAUCACAUGCAUCCCUCAUAUACUCCUUAUAUACUCUUGAUCAAACCGACAGCCACUAAACCGUGCCAAAUUGACGUUUGAUAUAACACUCUUAUGUGUCUGCAUGCCAUUACUUUUGCAUGUGGGUGAUAUUUUCUCAGGAACCUUAGGAUCCACAUAAUAUAAUAUCAUAUAAUAUGUAAUAUAAUAUAUAUAUAAGAAAAUUAAAGUACCAUCAUGUGACAUCGUGACAUGAUGUAUGAAGAGGAAUACUGACAUGGGCCGGUCCACUUGAAGCUAGGUAGGAUCGGGCCCUAAUUGUAGACAAUGUCUAUGCCAUCUGAUCCACACGAAUUUAUAAAUAGAUUGUUGACCAAUUCUACGUCGACCUUUAUUGAAGCUCUGACAACAUUCCAACCAUGUAGUCAUACAACCCGAAAUAAUUUCAGUUUCGAUAAAUCCAAUUCAAGUAUCAAGAGCACCAAGCUAGAGGAAUAGUGGAAUUGGCUGGAAAGUUGAAUUAGACAAGAGAGAUGGGUGGAAAAAUACGAUCCAGUAUAAGAAGAGUGUAUAAAAGAAAUACUAACUUCCGAAUUAAAUGAUGGUAGAACUUGGGAAAGGGGAAAGAAAAAAAAGCAAAGAUCAAAACAAAGAGAUACAAGAUACCAGAGAAGAGGGAUUGUGAGGCUCGUUCUUGCCGAUGCCUUCGUCACUUCCAUCCGUCCGAUGGAGAUCGGAGCGAUUGUGAGGCACCUCGGUGCACCCGGAGAGGGACGAGGAGAGAAGGCUUAUGAAUGGAUCGAUAGCGCGGCGGCGUUCGCCG
RNAcentral lists this long non-coding RNA (1618 nucleotides) under Elaeis guineensis (African oil palm). RNAcentral's name for it is "long non-coding RNA (EGUI_LNC007319)". The record is from RNAcentral. Lineage: Eukaryota; Viridiplantae; Streptophyta; Magnoliopsida; Arecales; Arecaceae.